GAUGAAGAACGUAGCGAAAUGCGAUAAGUAAUGCGAAUUGCAGAAUUUCCGUGAGUCAUCGAAUCUUUGAACGCACAUUGCGCCCACUGGUAUUCCGGGGGGCAUGCCUGUCCGAGCGUCAUUACAACCCUCAAGCUCAGCUUGGUGUUGGGCCCCGCCGCCCCGGCGGGCCCUAAAGUCAGUGGCGGUGCCGUCCGGCUCCGAGCGUAGUAAUUCUUCUCGCUCUGGAGGUCCGGUCGUGUGCUCGCCAGCAACCCCCAAUUUUUUUCAGGUUGACCUCGGAUCAGGUAGGGAUACCCGCUGAACUUAAGCAUAUCAAUAAGCGGAGGA
RNAcentral lists this unclassified non-coding RNA (330 nucleotides) under soil metagenome. Its description in RNAcentral is "partial contains 5.8S ribosomal RNA, internal transcribed spacer 2, and large subunit ribosomal RNA". The stretch from base 1 to 121 matches the Rfam family "5.8S ribosomal RNA", at positions 35 to 154 of the family's 154-position model. The record is from RNAcentral.